This 1370-nucleotide ribosomal RNA is filed under the name uncultured bacterium. RNAcentral's name for it is "16S ribosomal RNA". It matches the Rfam family "Bacterial small subunit ribosomal RNA", at positions 8 to 1362 of the family's 1533-position model. The record is from RNAcentral.
AGAGUUUGAUUCUGGCUCAGAACGAACGCUGGCGGCAGGCCUCAUACAUGCAAGUCGAGCGGAAAGGCCCCUUCGGGGGUACUCGAGCGGCGAACGGGUGAGUAACAGGUGGGUAAUCUACCUUUCGGAGGGGGAUAACGGCUGGAAACGGCCGCUAAUACCCCGUACGGUUGCGAUGCUCUCGGGCAACGCAAAGAAAGGGGCCCUUAAAGCCUCGCCGAAAGAUGAGCCCGCCCCCCAUUAGCUAGUUGGUGAGGUAAUGGCCCACCAAGGCUAUGAUGGGUAGCCGAGCUGAGAGGUUGAUCGGCCACACUGGAACUGAGACACGGUCCAGACACCUACGGGUGGCAGCAGUAGGGAAUAUUGCGCAAUGGGCGAAAGCCUGACGCAGCCAUGCCGCGUGGAUGAUGAAGGCCUUCGGGUCGUAAAGUCCUUUUCUGAGGGAAGAACUAUCGGGGGAGGAAAUGCCUUCGGUUUGACGGUACCUCAGGAAUAAGCAACGGCUAACUCCGUGCCAGCAGCCGCGGUAAUACGGAGGUUGCAAGCGUUGUUCGGAAUGACUGGGCGUAAAGGGAGCGCAGGCGGCCAGGUCAGUCGGAAGUGAAAGCCCGGGGCUUAACCCCGGAAUUGCUUUGGAUACUGCCUGGCUUGAGUAUGCGAUAGGAAAGUGGAAUUCCAGGUGUAGCGGUGAAAUGCGUAGAUAUCUGGAGGAACACCGGUGGCGAAAGCGGCUUUCUGGCGCAUAACUGACGCUGAGGCUCGAAAGCGUGGGGAGCGAACGAGAUUAGAUACCCCGGUAGUCCACGCCGUAAACGUUGUGCACUAGGUGUGGGAGGGAUCGACUCCUUCCGUGCCGAAGCUAACGCAUUAAGUGCACCGCCUGGGGAGUACGGUCGCAAGACUGAAACUCAAAGGAAUUGACGGGGGCCCGCACAAGCGGUGGAGCAUGUGGUUUAAUUCGAGGCAACGCGAAGAACCUUACCCAGGCUUGACAUCCCGAGACCGCCACGGAAACAUGGUUUCUCCUUCGGGGGCUCGGUGACAGGUGUUGCAUGCCUGUCGUCAGCUCGUGUCGUGAGAUGUUGGGUUAAGUCCCGCAACGAGCGCAACCCUCGUCCUUAGUUACCAGCGGUUCGGCCGGGCACUCUAGGGAGACUGCCGGUGAUAAACCGGAGGAAGGUGGGGGGGACGUCAAGUCAUCACGGCCCUUAUGCCUGGGGGGACACACGUGCUACAAUGGCCGGUACAAAGAGAUGCAACGUCGCGAGGCAGAGCUAAUCUCAAAAAGCCGGUCUCAGUUCGGAUUGGAGUCUGCAACUCGACUCCACGAAGUCGGAAUCGCUAGUAAUCGCGUAUCAGCCAUGACGCGG